This is an RNA transcript of Beta vulgaris subsp. vulgaris (sugar beet), 3346 nucleotides long. It is a transcript of the gene named receptor-like protein EIX2, with no coding region annotated. Lineage: Eukaryota; Viridiplantae; Streptophyta; Magnoliopsida; Caryophyllales; Amaranthaceae. The transcript is spliced from 3 exons. The record is from RefSeq and is a predicted model, not a curated record.
GAUCAAUAACUUAUCACAAUAAAAUCCUCUCUUACCUUAAAAAUGUUCCAUCCAAUCAUACUUUGUUGUCUUUUACUAUCUUUCUCCUACGUUUCUCCUUCAAAUGGCAAUAAUAAGCAAGUGCAGUGUAUUGACCAUGAGAGAGAAGCAUUGUUAAAAUUUAAACAGGGCAUUCUAGUUGACAACUGCGGACUGUUGUCUUCAUGGGGAGACCAUGAUCAUAACCGAGACUGUUGUCAAUGGGAUCACGUCCGUUGCCACUAUAAAACUGGUAAUGUUGUAAUGCUCAACCUUCGAGGAGUUGAUUCGUUUACGAAAUGUCUAAUAGGUAAUCUUAGUUCUUCCCUUGUUAGUUUGAAGCAUUUAUAUUACUUGGAUCUCAGCAACAAUAAUUUUGUUCCUUAUAAUGAUAUUAUUCUCAACCCAAGUAUAAAAAAACUUGAAAUAAAGCCCAUCCCAAGUUUUAUAGGUUCCUUUGAGAAGUUGGAGUACCUUUAUCUUUCCAACACUGGGUUUAUAGGAGAAAUUCCUCACCAAAUUGGAAAUCUUUCCCAGUUAAGUUAUCUUGAUCUCGCUAGUGACGAGAUUAUCUCUAAUGUCAGUGUCUUCCAUUGGAAUUUUUUGACGUCGUAUGUCGAAAACUUGUCAUGGCUUUCAAAUUUAACUUCGUUGAGAUACAUCAACUUGAGACAAGUUUAUCUCGGACAUUCAACAGAUUGGCUCCAAGUCAUAAACAACCUCCCAUUCUUAAGCUACCUUAACUUAAAUUGGUGUUGGCUUCCCUCACCAGUUUUGUCGCCUUCAAAAUUAUCAUUCGAGAAUUCUACAACCACUCUCUCAUUUCUAGAUCUUUCUACUAAUAACUUGGAUGAAUCCAUAUUCCCGUGGUUGUUCAAUUUGAGUGGAAUUAACACUUACCUUACAUAUCUUUCUCUAUCUGGUAAUCACAUUAAAGGUUCCCUUCCAGAUGCAAUUGGAAAUUUGAAGUCCCUUACAUAUCUCUCUCUCGCGAGAAAUAGAUUUGAGGGUUCAAUUCCUGUCAAUCUUUCAAACCUAAAGACUCUCACGCAUCUUGAUCUCUCAUAUAAUAAUUUCCAAUCCUUGUCAAAAAAGUUCUUAAAAGAUUCCUGUAGCUUACAAUUUCUCGACUUGUCCUACAAUAAUUUCACUGAUGAGCUCCCUAACCUAAUACAGUCAAUAAAUGGAUGUGCAGCCAAGUCAUUGUUGUAUUUAGAUUUGAAUUCUAAUCAAAUUUGGGGUUCAAUUCCGGACACAAUCGACACCUUUUCUUCAUUGACUUAUUUACAUCUUGGUUCGAACCGACUGAAUGGAACGGUCAGUCCAAGUCUAGGGCAACUCUCUAUGCUAGAGACGUUAAUUCUUUAUUCUAAUUCUCUAAAAGGUACUCUCUCUAAUAUCCACUUCUCUAAUCUGUCAAGAUUAAAGGUGUUAAUAUUGUUUAAUAACACAAAAUUAGCGUUCAAUUUUGAUUCCAAUUGGGUCCCUGCAUUUCAGCUCCAAAAGAUCGAAUUAAGCAAUUGCAAAUUGGGGCCAUCAUUUCCAAAAUGGCUUGUUAGCCUAAAAAAUUAUUCAUUUCUUGAUAUCUCUAAUGCUGGAAUUUCAGACAGUAUUCCAAAAUCUUUUUGGAGCUCAUCAUCGAUGGUGGGUUAUCUUAAUAUGUCUCACAAUAAUAUUUAUGGGACACUUCCAGACCUACAAAGACUACCAGCCAGCUCUGAUAGCAACUAUAUUAUUCAAGUCAACCAAUGCAUAAUAGAUAUGAGCUUUAACAAUAUUGAAGGUGCAAUACCCUCAUUUCCACCAAACCUUACUCGCUUAUUCUUGAAUAACAACAAGUUUUCUGACCCCCACUCCUUGCUAUGUCCUAAAGAUAAAUCAAUACUAUUGGAGCUUGACCUUUCAAACAAUUUAUUGACUGGGGAACUUUCAGAUUGCUGGAAUAACUUUGAAAAUUUAAGACAUCUGCAGUUGGAAAAUAAUAAUUUUUCAGGUGCUAUACCAGCUUCUGUUGGUAACUUGAGUAAUCUUGUACUGUUGCAUUUCCGCAACAAUAAUUUCUCUGGGCAACUGCCAAAAGCCUUAGGGAACUGCACAUCCUUGGUUACUUUGGAUAUUGGUCAUAAUUCAUUGACUGGGCACAUACCAUCAUGGAUUGGAAACAAUUUGACAAGGCUUGCUUAUCUUGGCCUACGAAGUAAUCAUUUCAUUGGAGGCAUACCUUUAAGCAUUUGUCAAUUGUCUUUCCUCCAGAUUUUGGAUCUUUCAACCAACCACAUCAAUGGUAAAAUUCCAAAAUGCAUACAUAAUCUUACGGGGAUGAAGAAUAGGACAGAUUUAUCGGCACCAUUGAAAUAUCAUCAACUAUAUGAGACCCUUGACAAUGCAACAAUCAUGUGGAAAAGAAAAGAGUGGAGUUUUAGGAAUUGUUUGGGACUGGUCAAAGCUAUCGAUAUUUCGAAUAAUAAGCUAGAAGGAGAGAUUCCCAUUGAAAUUUCUUUUCUAAAAGGUCUCGUCUCCUUGGACUUGUCAAGAAAUGAUCUGGUUGGAAGUAUUACGCCAACAAUCGGAGAGUUGACAGCUUUGGAAGUUCUUGAACUGUCAAACAAUCAUUUUUCCGGUGAGAUCCCAACUAGCUUUGCAUCUUUGAAUUCUUUGGCCAUCUUAAACUUGGCCAACAACCACUUGUCUGGAAAAAUUCCCAGUGGUACUCAGCUUCAAGGCUUUGAUGCUUCAGUAUUUGCGGGGAAUCCCGCGCUCUGUGGAUCGCCACUCCCAAAAUGUCCCGGGGAUCAACCAGCUGAUAAUAAUAGUCCAGCGCGUGAAGAUGAUUUUCUUCUGGGGUUGUACAUAAGUGUGACGCUCGGAUUUAUUUUUGGAUUUUGGGGAGUUUGUGGAAGUUUAGUGCUAAAAACAUCUUGGAGACAUGCAUUUUUCCAAUUCUUUGAUGAUAUGAGAGACAAGCUCCGUGUCAUGGUUUCCGUGAAAAAAGCCAGAGUUCAGAGGAGAUUAUUGUGAAGUUGCAGAGGAAGUCAGGACUACAAGACGACACAAAGAUCUUUCGUUUUGCCUCGUAGGACAUCUUAUACAGUGCAUUGAGCUAGGUGCUGGAAUCGAUCUCUGGUUGCUACUAUUGAGAAUUUCAGUUCUUGUGAACAAUGUGUACUUAGCAUGUGUAUCAUUGUUGCUACUAUAGUGGGAAUUCAAGUUGUAAUGCCUAAAGAGUAAAGACUCUUAUAUAUUAUAGUAUUAUGUAGUAAUAAUUAUUAAUUAGUAUAAGACUUGAACCGAACACUUUGACAGAUAUUGUAAUCUGGGUUUUAUAGUA